CAACAGUUGGAGCCUGGGGCAGGC
This 24-nucleotide non-coding RNA is filed under the name Cricetulus griseus (Chinese hamster). The record is from RNAcentral. Lineage: Eukaryota; Metazoa; Chordata; Mammalia; Rodentia; Cricetidae.